GGGGUUGUGGCUCAGCGGUAGAGCGCUCGACUAGGGUGUGGGAGGCCCUGGGUUCAAUCCUCAGCACCA
This 69-nucleotide transfer RNA is filed under the name Ictidomys tridecemlineatus (thirteen-lined ground squirrel). RNAcentral's name for it is "Spermophilus tridecemlineatus (thirteen-lined ground squirrel) tRNA". It matches the Rfam family "tRNA". Rfam says of the family: Transfer RNA (tRNA) molecules are approximately 80 nucleotides in length. Their secondary structure includes four short double-helical elements and three loops (D, anti-codon, and T loops). The record is from Rfam by way of RNAcentral. Lineage: Eukaryota; Metazoa; Chordata; Mammalia; Rodentia; Sciuridae.